RNAcentral lists this ribosomal RNA (392 nucleotides) under uncultured bacterium. Its description in RNAcentral is "bacterial SSU rRNA". It matches the Rfam family "Bacterial small subunit ribosomal RNA", at positions 30 to 424 of the family's 1533-position model. The record is from RNAcentral.
AUUGAACGCUGGCGGCAUGCCUUACACAUGCAAGUCGAACGGCAGCGGACCUUCGGGUGCCGGCGAGUGGCGAACGGGUGAGUAAUAUAUCGGAACGUACCUUUCAGUGGGGGAUAACGUAGCGAAAGUUACGCUAAUACCGCAUAUUCUGUGAGCAGGAAAGCAGGGGAUCGCAAGACCUUGCGCUGAUUGAGCGGCCGAUAUCAGAUUAGCUAGUUGGUGAGGUAAAGGCUCACCAAGGCGACGAUCUGUAGCGGGUCUGAGAGGAUGAUCCGCCACACUGGAACUGAGACACGGUCCAGACUCCUACGGGAGGCAGCAGUGGGGAAUUUUGGACAAUGGGCGCAAGCCUGAUCCAGCCAUGCCGCGUGAGUGAAGAAGGGCCUCGGUUG